CUGGGGGAGCGCGGGGCCGAUGUAAUAGCGGGUGGAGCCGGCACUGCGUUGGCGAGCGGGGCGUGUGAGCGGGUCAUGCAGAUGGAUUGGAGUGGAGCAGAGGUGGUGGGGCGGGUACGAGAGGGUCCGAGGCUCUCUACUGUGGAGGCUAUGUACAUGGAGAGGCUGGGACGCUAUUGUGGGGUCGUUGAUGACAGUGAUCCCUGUGCGCUCCCCCCUUCUUGGAGGUGGUCUGCCGCUGGUUGCCUCUGGUGCUGUGAGGGUGUAGUGUGGUGCCUGCCCCCUGAGAUGGUGCCCGCCCCCUGUGGUGGACACUGGGAUGGGAAUGCUUAGUCGGAGGGCUGCCUCCUCUCUGUACAUGUGGUGUCCAAUGUAUUUCUGUGGACUUUGUAUAUAGUGUGUUGUUUUUCUGUUUGAUUGUUCUUUAUAUAUUUUUGUUUUGGGGUUGAUUUGUGUAGCAUUAGAUGUAUGUUAUGUGUUUUGUACGUUUUGUAUUUUGAUUGUUGUAUGGUUCUGGAUUUGUUUUUCAAGUUUUUAAGU
RNAcentral lists this long non-coding RNA (540 nucleotides) under Androctonus crassicauda. The record is from RNAcentral. Lineage: Eukaryota; Metazoa; Arthropoda; Arachnida; Scorpiones; Buthidae.